Lingula anatina is the source of this 1073-nucleotide unclassified non-coding RNA. Lineage: Eukaryota; Metazoa; Brachiopoda; Lingulata; Lingulida; Lingulidae. The record is from RefSeq and is a predicted model, not a curated record.
GGGUCGUUCUUUCUAUGCCAGGCGUGAACUUAGCCUUAGUAGAGCUUAAUUUGACUAUAUUUGCAUUAUAUUGACAGCCUUAAUGUCCUCAGGUUAUACACCAUCUAGUGAUACGGGUAUCUGCUAUCAACAUUUAAAAGUGCGAUUAACGAAAGGAAAACGUUUUUUACGUAUGUAAAAAAAAAGAGGACUUAAAAGACUUUAGAACACCGAGACGAAAAGCAACUACUGUACAGAAAUGAAGCCUAUUAUUGCGGCAGUGUUGUUGGUUCUCCUUUUUGCAACCCAUGAGGAAACCAUUGCAGAAUGUCGUUGUCCUAAACCGCCAUUUUUUGGCAUUUGUUGGGAGCUCUGCACUGGGCAUGAUAAUUGCACUGGGAUACAAAUGUGCUGCUCAAAUGGAUGUGGCCACGUGUGCAAGGAUCCCAUCGAUUGUUAAGGAAUGGGGAAGUGACACGAGUGAAGACGCUGACACAGUUAGAAAUGAUGUUGUCUUAACUAUUUCUACAUCAUGGCGGCACUUAUUUCGAUUUCAUGACGUCACAUGCGAAAGGGAAAUUGUGUUGAAUCAAAGGGGUUAAGUCAAUAGCUACUUGAAAGGAAGACCACCGACAUCAUUUUGUCAAAACUGAAGUAGAUUGAUUAAUGUAAAUCAUAUGUAUUGCAUAUUCUAUGCUUAAAACUUUGAAGCCUAUUAAUGGUGAAACAAAUCGAAACUUGUGAUUUAUUGCAUCGGCCUAUGACUGCGAUAGCAGGUAACGAAAUUGUUUGGACAAAACUUAUUUUAUCAUUUGAUCUUGAAAACAGCAUUUUCAUUAAAUUGUUAAAGCAAUGACGACAUUACAAUUUUUUUAAAGAGAAGUCACGCCAUCAAAUUACUGGACUGGCUACGCAACAAGAUUCGAUGAAAAUAUUCUGUAAAAUGGCUGAAUGCAACACCGUACCGUUUUCAUUUAAUACAGGUAUAUGUACUUCCAAUAUUUCAAUUCUAUCUUUUAUAUCUACCUUUUAUAUUGUGAACAAGAGGAAGCAGAGAAGUGAUAAAUAAAUAUGGGCUUUAUGGUUAAACAAUA